Molecule: ribosomal RNA, 55 nt
Filed under: Acaena pinnatifida
Lineage: Eukaryota; Viridiplantae; Streptophyta; Magnoliopsida; Rosales; Rosaceae
Description: partial 18S ribosomal RNA
Rfam family: Eukaryotic small subunit ribosomal RNA
Source: RNAcentral
AGAAAAGAGAAGUCGUAACAAGGUUUCGGUAGGUGAACCUGCGGAAGGAUCAUUG